RNAcentral lists this transfer RNA (74 nucleotides) under Pellia epiphylla. Its description in RNAcentral is "tRNA-Pro". It matches the Rfam family "tRNA". Rfam says of the family: Transfer RNA (tRNA) molecules are approximately 80 nucleotides in length. Their secondary structure includes four short double-helical elements and three loops (D, anti-codon, and T loops). RNAcentral also lists the same sequence under 1 other name. Lineage: Eukaryota; Viridiplantae; Streptophyta; Jungermanniopsida; Pelliales; Pelliaceae. The record is from RNAcentral.
CGGGGUAUAGCACAGUUUGGUAGUGUACCAUCUUGGGGUGAUGGAAGUCGUGGGUUCGAUUCCCGCUACUCCGA